RNAcentral lists this ribosomal RNA (2215 nucleotides) under Salmonella enterica subsp. enterica serovar Enteritidis. RNAcentral's name for it is "partial 23S ribosomal RNA". It matches the Rfam family "Bacterial large subunit ribosomal RNA", at positions 711 to 2902 of the family's 2925-position model. Lineage: Bacteria; Pseudomonadati; Pseudomonadota; Gammaproteobacteria; Enterobacterales; Enterobacteriaceae. The record is from RNAcentral.
AGACCCGAAACCCGGUGAUCUAGCCAUGGGCAGGUUGAAGGUUGGGUAACACUAACUGGAGGACCGAACCGACUAAUGUUGAAAAAUUAGCGGAUGACCUGUGGCUGGGGGUGAAAGGCCAAUCAAACCGGGAGAUAGCUGGUUCUCCCCGAAAGCUAUUUAGGUAGCGCCUCGUGAAUUCAUCUCCGGGGGUAGAGCACUGUUUCGGCUAGGGGGCCAUCCCGGCUUACCAACCCGAUGCAAACUGCGAAUACCGGAGAAUGUUAUCACGGGAGACACACGGCGGGUGCUAACGUCCGUCGUGAAGAGGGAAACAACCCAGACCGCCAGCUAAGGUCCCAAAGUCAUGGUUAAGUGGGAAACGAUGUGGGAAGGCCCAGACAGCCAGGAUGUUGGCUUAGAAGCAGCCAUCAUUUAAAGAAAGCGUAAUAGCUCACUGGUCGAGUCGGCCUGCGCGGAAGAUGUAACGGGGCUAAACCAUGCACCGAAGCUGCGGCAGCGACACUGUGUGUUGUUGGGUAGGGGAGCGUUCUGUAAGCCUGCGAAGGUGGCCUGUGAGGGUUGCUGGAGGUAUCAGAAGUGCGAAUGCUGACAUAAGUAACGAUAAAGCGGGUGAAAAGCCCGCUCGCCGGAAGACCAAGGGUUCCUGUCCAACGUUAAUCGGGGCAGGGUGAGUCGACCCCUAAGGCGAGGCCGAAAGGCGUAGUCGAUGGGAAACGGGUUAAUAUUCCCGUACUUGGUGUUACUGCGAAGGGGGGACGGAGAAGGCUAUGUUGGCCGGGCGACGGUUGUCCCGGUUUAAGCGUGUAGGUGUGUGUUCCAGGUAAAUCCGGUUCACUUUAACACUGAGGCGUGACGACGAGGCACUACGGUGCUGAAGCAACAAAUGCCCUGCUUCCAGGAAAAGCCUCUAAGCAUCAGGUAACAUCAAAUCGUACCCCAAACCGACACAGGUGGUCAGGUAGAGAAUACCAAGGCGCUUGAGAGAACUCGGGUGAAGGAACUAGGCAAAAUGGUGCCGUAACUUCGGGAGAAGGCACGCUGACACGUAGGUGAAGUGAUUUACUCAUGGAGCUGAAGUCAGUCGAAGAUACCAGCUGGCUGCAACUGUUUAUUAAAAACACAGCACUGUGCAAACACGAAAGUGGACGUAUACGGUGUGACGCCUGCCCGGUGCCGGAAGGUUAAUUGAUGGGGUCAGCGCAAGCGAAGCUCCUGAUCGAAGCCCCGGUAAACGGCGGCCGUAACUAUAACGGUCCUAAGGUAGCGAAAUUCCUUGUCGGGUAAGUUCCGACCUGCACGAAUGGCGUAAUGAUGGCCAGGCUGUCUCCACCCGAGACUCAGUGAAAUUGAACUCGCUGUGAAGAUGCAGUGUACCCGCGGCAAGACGGAAAGACCCCGUGAACCUUUACUAUAGCUUGACACUGAACAUUGAGCCUUGAUGUGUAGGAUAGGUGGGAGGCUUUGAAGUGUGGACGCCAGUCUGCAUGGAGCCGACCUUGAAAUACCACCCUUUAAUGUUUGAUGUUCUAACGUGGACCCGUUACCCGGGUUGCGGACAGUGUCUGGUGGGUAGUUUGACUGGGGCGGUCUCCUCCUAAAGAGUAACGGAGGAGCACGAAGGUUGGCUAAUCCUGGUCGGACAUCAGGAGGUUAGUGCAAUGGCAUAAGCCAGCUUGACUGCGAGCGUGACGGCGCGAGCAGGUGCGAAAGCAGGUCAUAGUGAUCCGGUGGUUCUGAAUGGAAGGGCCAUCGCUCAACGGAUAAAAGGUACUCCGGGGAUAACAGGCUGAUACCGCCCAAGAGUUCAUAUCGACGGCGGUGUUUGGCACCUCGAUGUCGGCUCAUCACAUCCUGGGGCUGAAGUAGGUCCCAAGGGUAUGGCUGUUCGCCAUUUAAAGUGGUACGCGAGCUGGGUUUAGAACGUCGUGAGACAGUUCGGUCCCUAUCUGCCGUGGGCGCUGGAGAACUGAGGGGGGCUGCUCCUAGUACGAGAGGACCGGAGUGGACGCAUCACUGGUGUUCGGGUUGUCAUGCCAAUGGCACUGCCCGGUAGCUAAAUGCGGAAGAGAUAAGUGCUGAAAGCAUCUAAGCACGAAACUUGCCCCGAGAUGAGUUCUCCCUGAGACUUAAAGUCUCCUGAAGGAACGUUGAAGACGACGACGUUGAUAGGCCGGGUGUGUAAGCGCAGCGAUGCGUUGAGCUAACCGGUACU